Molecule: unclassified non-coding RNA, 381 nt
Filed under: uncultured Rickettsiales bacterium
Lineage: Bacteria; Pseudomonadati; Pseudomonadota; Alphaproteobacteria; Rickettsiales
Description: contains 16S-23S intergenic spacer region
Source: RNAcentral
UCCGGAUUAACUCCGGCAGUUUCCUUAGAGUUCUCAGCAUUACCUGUUAGCAACAAAGGAUGAGGGUUGCGCUCGUUGCGGGACUUAACCCAACAUCUCACGACACGAGCUGACGACAGCCAUGCAGCACCUGUGCAUCUCCCACCCGAAGUGAAGGGAAGCGUCUCUGCUUCCCAAAGAGAGCAUGUCAAGGCCUGGUAAGGUUCUUCGCGUUGCCUCGAAUUAAACCACAUGUUCCACCGCUUGUGCGGGUCCCCGUCAAUUUCUUAGAGUUUUAAUCUUGCGACCGUACUCCCCAGGCGGGGUGCUUAACGCGUUAGCUACGCCACUGAGACCUUAAGGUCCCAACGGCUAGCACCCAUCGUUUACAGCGUGGACUAC